This 406-nucleotide ribosomal RNA is filed under the name uncultured bacterium. Its description in RNAcentral is "partial 16S ribosomal RNA". It matches the Rfam family "Bacterial small subunit ribosomal RNA", at positions 30 to 526 of the family's 1533-position model. The record is from RNAcentral.
AUUGAACGCUGGCGGCAGGCCUAACACAUGCAAGUCGAACGAGUGGCGGACGGGUGAGUAAUGUCUGGGACACUGCCUGAUGGAGGGGGAUAACUAUUGGAAACAGUAGCUAAUACCGCAUACCAUCGGAUGUGCACAGAUUGGAUUAGCUAGUAGGGGGGGUAACGGCUAACCUAGGCGACGAUCCCUAGCUGGGCUGAGAGGAUGACCAGCCACACUGGAACUGAGACACGGUCCAGACUCCUACGGGAGGCAGCAGUGGGGAAUAUUGCACAAUGGACGCAAGCCUGAUGCAGCCAUGCCGCGUGUAUGAAGAAGGCCUUCGGGUUGUAAAGUUCUUUCAGCGGGGAGGCGGUACCCACAGAAGAAGCACCGGCUAACUCCGUGCCAGCAGCCGCGGUAAUAC